Aegilops tauschii subsp. strangulata is the source of this 1263-nucleotide non-coding RNA. NCBI's taxonomy places the organism in Eukaryota, Viridiplantae, Streptophyta, Magnoliopsida, Poales, Poaceae. The record is from RefSeq and is a predicted model, not a curated record.
UGCAUGUCCUUAUAAAGCUUUUUAAUGGGUUGAGGUAAGUGCGGGAUGGAUGAAAUUGCUCAGUACCGUCUAAUCUGGCAAUCUGGAUUAUGAUCGGUUCAACUAUUUUGUGGUUCCAGUUCUACUAAUUGAAGCCGGUGAGUUGGUGUAUGCUUGAAGUGAGUCUGGUUCUCGCUUCAAUUCCCCCCUGUUUCACCUCCAGAUCUACUCAUCGGGAGAUGGAUUCCUUGCAGUGAGAGGCUGGUAGGGGUUCUCGUUUAGCACAUGAUUUUUUUCUCACUUUUGAUUUGUAUAAGCCUUUUGGACUUAGGUGAUCAUUGGUACACGAUGCAGGUCUGACGCUGUUAUUGAUAAUCAUCCAUACCUAUUCUGGACAUGGACGAAGUACACACAUGUACACGCAGCUUUUUUUGAUCCGUUGCAUAUCAAAGUAUGAGUACAUAUAUCACAGUCCUCUGUAAAUACCUAACGUUCUUUGCUUUGUGUGAAAUUGACCUUUGGUAAUUUGUGUUCACUUUUUACUUGUAUGUGUGCGAAUUUAUAACCUGGAUAUUUUUCCUACUAGGCUUCAUUCAGACGAUGGACUGUCUUGCUCUACUUCGAAAUCGAAACAGGUGAGUCGUGUCCUUUUUAGGAUUUAACCAACUGAACUGAAACCAAGAUACAGUUGUUUAUGUGUGCUGAAGAUUGUUCAUACCCGUACCCUGAAGAAAGAAGGCAAAAUAAUCCAUAACUAUUUCUUGAUAAUAAAGUACAUAGACAUAGAUAUAUAGCUCAUUGGCUCCAUCACAUUAGUUUGCUAAAUAAGUUAUAUGGAUCCUUGCAGACACAAGAUAGAUUCUAGAUAUACCUGGAAUAUGUUCAUCCGGGUUCAGUUAAUAAGUGCAUUAGUCAACAUUGUGGUGCAAUGACAGAAUCUGUUGUCCACAACUUCACCUGCCAUAUCCUUAAGGGUCUUGAUUUCCUACAGAGCCAAAAAAUUAUGCAUAGAUCUGGAAAUAGGUUUAAAGGAAAGAUUUAGAAGUAACUGUGGUGAUCCAGGACACGCUUUCAAGAUUACAAGUUCAGUAGUGGCAACUUGAACUUAUGUAAGAAUAAACAGAAUGAUUUUUCAUUCUGAAGAGUUUCCUAACUAUUGACUUUAAGCCUUCAUAGUUACAUCGUGGGAUUAUGAAUAAGAUGGUGCUAAUUAUAUUUUGAGUGAAUUUCUGGUGUGUAUUAUUCAGACUGGCCCUUGAACUAAAUAAAGAAAAGUCAAAGAUA